GUAAGGUCUCCCAUAUCAGACAGGCUUUGCCUUAGGAGCCAGAUUAGAAGUGCCAAACAUCUACUGGGCAAUAACAGCAGUGUAGGGUCAAAUGCCAGACAAUUCCUCAGAGAACGGCAGUGGCAGGAAUUCCUGGAAAAGCACUUUCAAUCCACAUGAACCUCUCCAACCAGCAGAGAGAGGAGGAAGGAUGAAGGAAGCCAGAUAGAUUGGCCAAUAAAAAUUCUGAUUUCGUAAUGUUAUA
This is a long non-coding RNA of Anolis carolinensis (green anole), 244 nucleotides long. RefSeq lists it as uncharacterized. The record is from RefSeq and is a predicted model, not a curated record. The transcript is spliced from 2 exons. Lineage: Eukaryota; Metazoa; Chordata; Lepidosauria; Squamata; Anolidae.